UGAUGGUGAUGAGAAAAGCUUCUUAGCAUGCCCUUAAAUCUCUCCCAAGCUUGGUAGAGAUUUUCUCCAUCUUUCUGUCUGAAAUAUAAUAUCUCACUUCUUAAUCG
Molecule: non-coding RNA, 107 nt
Organism: Capsicum annuum
Lineage: Eukaryota; Viridiplantae; Streptophyta; Magnoliopsida; Solanales; Solanaceae
Source: Rfam